Molecule: long non-coding RNA, 2427 nt
Organism: Aedes albopictus (Asian tiger mosquito)
Lineage: Eukaryota; Metazoa; Arthropoda; Insecta; Diptera; Culicidae
Exons: 3
Source: RefSeq, a predicted model, not a curated record
CUGAGCUGAGCAGUGAGCUAGCUGAUGGACGACCGACGACCGACGACGAUCUGAUGCGAAGAAAACUCAAAAAAAUAGAAAAAUACUACGAAAAACGUCGCCUCUUGCGUUCCUUUUCCGCACGUUUGCUGAUGGUGGUGUGCGUGUCAUUAACCUGUACGACGGAUCUUUUUUCCUUUGGAUGUGGUGCUGCUCUCGCUCGCUCGCUCCUCACUCUGACUGACUGACCGAUUGAUUGUGCAGUGCGUGGUGGAAUAUUAUUAUCGAAAAAAAGUCCUAAUCCUGUUUGGGAGGAAUUUUCGGGUUUCGUAAUUGUGGAACGUGAAUCGAAGUCGCGGCGAUAUCCGUAACCGACCGCGGGAAAUCCGGAAUAUAGUGGUGCGUGCCGUCGUCGCGAGUUUGCGGAUUGUGGUGCGUUUCUGUGUGCUCUUUGCCUUCAUCGCACUAUUUUGGUUGUGUAUCGCGUUAAUUGCUGCUCCGCAAAGAAGAGUUUCUUCUUUCGCUUGACCGUGUGUUCCGUCGUGGUUUAUUUGUGUAACCUUUGGAUCCUCUGGGGAGCCGGGAUCCGCCCAUUGUACCGCCGCUGGGAGUUCCCUUCCGGAAGUGUUGUUUGGUGAUCAGGAUUGUGUGAAUUUCUACUUUGGAGUGACUCUCUCGGGUGCUGGAACCGAAUUCGGAACCAUCCGAUGGACACAGGAGUUUGAGGAGUUUUGAUCGGACAAGAACAAUUUUGGACACUGGAAGCGAUCCGCGUAUCAAAAGGACAUCAAGAUGUUCAACGCGGGCGACUCGUUCGGGUAUCUGUUCGAGAAAAAUGACCCGAUACAUUCGCUUAACAACUUUGCGACCUCGUCGCAGACAAUUGACAGGUAAAAGGGAGGAGUGCUUCCCAUCAUCAUCACAAUUACAAGGAAAUCUGGUAUUGUGUUUUAUGCAUGUAGUUCAAGCAUUCUCUAUAUACACUACUCAUCAGUACGGACUCACUUAAAAAAGUAUUGCAACACUCAGCUGAAUAUUGCAUCACCCCCAAAAAAGUUUAGCAUCACCUGAAAACAGCUAAAUUUGUGCUGCUUUAUCUCCAAAUCCUGAUAAUAUACAGAGGUACAGUCUUUAGCAAAGUUGUUCGGAAGGUCGUUGGCAUCACAAUGGGUAGCAGUUUGAUUCGCAAUUCUGCCGCUGGGUGACGCUAGUGAGCAUGAAAAAUUAGCAUUUUUAACUAGUUCUAUCUCGUCAUCCUGAUGAGAUAGAAAGUUCAAGUCUUCGGCAAAGUUGUUCGGAAGGUCAUGGACAUCGUAAUGACAAGCAGUUUGGUUUGCAAUUUUGUCGCUAGGUGACGCUAGUGAGCAUAGAAAAAUGAACAUUUUGAACUAGCUUUAUCCCGUGAUUCUGAUUAGAUAGAAAGUUCAAGUAUUCGACAAAGUUGUUCGGAAAGUCGUGGACAUCUUAAUGACAAGCAGUUUGGUUCGCAAUUCUGCCGCUAGUGAGCAUGGAAAAUUAUAAUUUCUUACUAGUUCUACCUCGUGAUCCUGAUGAGAUAGAAAGUUCAAGUCUUCGACAAAGUUGUUCGGAAGGUCAUGAACAUCAUAAUGACAAGCAGAUUGGUUCGCAAUGCUGCCGCUAGGAGACGCUAGUGAGCAUGGGAAAAUGAGCAGUUGCCAAUGACAAGCAGUUAAUGAAGUGAAUCACACCUGAAUCACUUGAAUAUUAAGUAAAUUAGACCUGAAUCAUUUGAAUAUCAAGUGAAUCAGGCCUGAAUCACUUGAAUGUCAAGUGAAUUAGCCCUGAAUCACUUGAAUAUGAAGUGAACCAGAGCUGAAUUACUUGAAUAUCGAGUGAAUCAAACCUCAAUCUUUUGAAUUUGAAGUGAAACAGUCUUGAAUCACUUGAACAUGAAGUGAAUCAGACCUAAACUAUUUGAAUAUCAAGUGAAUCAGUCCUGAAUCACUUGAAUAUUAAGUGAAUCAGACCGAAAUUUGCAUAUUUUUAGGAUUUCGAGAUACAGCUGCACAUAUGUAGUUGUUUUGAGGUGAUGCUAAACUUUUCAAGGUGAUGCAAUAUUCAACUGAGUGUUGCAAUAUUUUAUUAAGCGAGUCCGUUCUUAUGGCGGGUAGUGUAUAUCUAAAAUAAAAGAUAUGAAUAUUAAAAUAUUUGAAUGUAAAUGAAAUUUUUCAUCGCAUGUAAGAUGAACAUGUAAGAUUCCAUUAUGUGAAUGAAUGUUCCCUGCGAUUCAUGAAAAUCUUUUUUAUUUUCUGGAAAAUUAUUGGCUGUAAAUAUCCAGAAUUUCCGAUAAGCUUGCGGUUUACUUCCUGUUGCUGCUGCUGAAAAUAACGCUGAUCAUAUAUUGUAUUUUCUACGAAUAAUCAGACUUUCACGACGAAAUUGAAAUCAUCCGAAAAUUUGACGAGCUUGGUGGUCUAAUGGCUACCA